RNAcentral lists this long non-coding RNA (484 nucleotides) under Phoenix dactylifera (date palm). RNAcentral's name for it is "long non-coding RNA (PDAC_LNC023120)". Lineage: Eukaryota; Viridiplantae; Streptophyta; Magnoliopsida; Arecales; Arecaceae. The record is from RNAcentral.
CUUAUUAUGGCAUGAUUAAAUUCUUUAAUUAUUAAUUUUUGAUAUCAUGUCUAUAUAUGUAUUGACUGACUUAUACUCUUAGAAAUUGUUUCAUGGUUUGCCCAAACUAAAUUAUUUCUUUGCCUAUAUCAUAACCAUGAAAUACACAAGUAUGUGCUUAAAAUUUUGAUGUAAAAUAACUUGUGAGAAGUUAUGAAUACUUGAGCAUAAUGAAAAUGUUGUUUGCAUGAUAUACAUCUAUAUGACACAUAAGAUUAUUUCUUUAUUCUGCUCUUUCAUGUAAAUUACUUGAGAAUAACAAAAAGAGAGAGAGAUAAAGAAAAGAAAAUAGAUAUUAUUCAAGAGAAGUAAAAUCUAAGUAAAGGCAAAUACUUCAAUCUUAAGGAAAAGCAAAACAAGCAUAAUAUAUUUGGGACAUUUGUGAGCAUUCUUUUGGAAGGAAUAAAAUUCAUAAUUAAUUACACUUAAACAGGGAGAGUUUGAA